RNAcentral lists this ribosomal RNA (253 nucleotides) under uncultured bacterium. Its description in RNAcentral is "partial 16S ribosomal RNA". It matches the Rfam family "Bacterial small subunit ribosomal RNA", at positions 524 to 776 of the family's 1533-position model. The record is from RNAcentral.
UACGGAGGGGGCAAGCGUUGUUCGGAAUCAUUGGGCGUAAAGGGCGCGUAGGCGGUUCUGUAUGUCUACCGCGAAAGCAUACAGCUCAACUGUAUUUUGUCGGUAGAAACUGCAGGACUUGAGGCUGGGAGGGGCUGGUGGAAUUCCCUGUGUAGCGGUGAAAUGCGUAGAGAUGGGGGAGAACACUCGUGGCGAAGGCGGCCAGCUAGACCAGUUCUGACACUGAGGCGCGACAGCGUGGUGAGCAAACAGG